CUUUCUGUUGUACGUAACAUUAUUAUUACUUUUUUUUUCUUGAGACGGAGUCUCACUCUCUCACCCAGGCUGGAAUGCAGUGGCACCAUCUUGGCUCACUGCAGCCUCCUCCUCUCGGGUUCAAGCGAUUCUCCCGCCUCAGCCUCCCAAGUAGCUGGGAUUACAGGUUUAGAAGAUCGUGACCACAUGGAUCAUCUAACUGAAUGGUACAUGGGGACACAAUGGUCCUAUAGAGAAUAUAUGUGAAUUGUUGGCUAAUUUCUUGAUUUGCGACUCAACAUAGGACAUCGCUUGUUCAUAUCUAUCAGAACACUCCUGAAUUUUCCCCACCAUGCUAUCUUUAUUA
RNAcentral lists this long non-coding RNA (346 nucleotides) under Papio anubis (olive baboon). Its description in RNAcentral is "lncRNA (ENSPANG00000044039.1)". Lineage: Eukaryota; Metazoa; Chordata; Mammalia; Primates; Cercopithecidae. The record is from RNAcentral.